GGCUUCAUAGCUCAGUCGGUAGAGCAGCGGACUGAAAAUCCGUGUGUCGCUGGUUCAAAUCCCGCUGGAGCCACCA
Molecule: transfer RNA, 76 nt
Filed under: Mycoplasma sp. CAG:611
Lineage: Bacteria; Bacillati; Mycoplasmatota; Mollicutes; Mycoplasmatales; Mycoplasmataceae
Description: transfer RNA-Phe(GAA)
Rfam family: tRNA
About the family: Transfer RNA (tRNA) molecules are approximately 80 nucleotides in length. Their secondary structure includes four short double-helical elements and three loops (D, anti-codon, and T loops). Further hydrogen bonds mediate the characteristic L-shaped molecular structure. tRNAs have two regions of fundamental functional importance: the anti-codon, which is responsible for specific mRNA codon recognition, and the 3' end, to which the tRNAs corresponding amino acid is attached (by aminoacyl-tRNA synthetases). tRNAs cope with the degeneracy of the genetic code in two manners: having more than one tRNA (with a specific anti-codon) for a particular amino acid; and 'wobble' base-pairing, i.e. permitting non-standard base-pairing at the 3rd anti-codon position.
Source: RNAcentral